Molecule: non-coding RNA, 75 nt
Organism: Streptomyces sp.
Lineage: Bacteria; Bacillati; Actinomycetota; Actinomycetes; Kitasatosporales; Streptomycetaceae
Source: Rfam
CUUCAGCGAGCCGAGCAGCAGCGGGUGCGCGUCACCGCGGUCCUGCCCGUACGUGUUGAGGAGGGCCUGCGCCUC